RNAcentral lists this long non-coding RNA (216 nucleotides) under Lathyrus oleraceus (garden pea). RNAcentral describes it as "Pisum sativum (pea) long non-coding RNA (PSAT_LNC029134)". Lineage: Eukaryota; Viridiplantae; Streptophyta; Magnoliopsida; Fabales; Fabaceae. The record is from RNAcentral.
ACGCAUUGGUUUCUCUUUCUUCCUUUUCAUUUUCUCCUUUUCUUUUUCUUUUUAUUUCCUUCGGCCUUAAUUGUCUCCCUUAAUUCCUUUUUCACGUGGAUCCUUCUUAAUCAAUUCUAACAAUCAUCGUUCCUUUGACAUGAUCACCUUAGAAAUAGUACUAGUCUUCGAUGUAGCUUUUUGGUUAAUCAGACCCUUUCUCGUAUCCACAUGAUC